RNAcentral lists this transfer RNA (74 nucleotides) under Candidatus Helarchaeota archaeon. RNAcentral's name for it is "tRNA-Val". It matches the Rfam family "tRNA". Rfam says of the family: Transfer RNA (tRNA) molecules are approximately 80 nucleotides in length. Lineage: Archaea; Promethearchaeati; Candidatus Helarchaeota. The record is from RNAcentral.
GGACGGGUGGUCUAGACUGGUAUGAUACUGCCCUUACGAGGCAGUGGUCGAGGGUCCAAAUCCCUCCCCGUCCA